Molecule: long non-coding RNA, 6344 nt
Filed under: Nicotiana benthamiana
Lineage: Eukaryota; Viridiplantae; Streptophyta; Magnoliopsida; Solanales; Solanaceae
Description: long non-coding RNA (NBEN_LNC042373)
Source: RNAcentral
GGCUUCGAUCUGGGGAUGCUUUGUCAGGGCCCAAGAUUGUUGAUUCCACUUUAAAGCCAGCAACAACUAGUGGUAUGUUACAUCUAUUUGCUGCACCAUAUAUGGUUAUGCACUUUUAGGAAUUUUGGUUUCUUAAGUUUGCUUUCUAGAAUUUGGCUAUAUAAAUUAUUGUUUGGGUCAGUUUUCUUAUUUUGAUCAAGAAGAUGCUGGUCAUUUUGUUUGUAGGUCAAGAUGGUGAGAAAUUAAGUUUGAUUAAGCUUGCUAGUAUGAUUGAAGUGUCAUCUAAAAAAGGAAGUCAAGAGCUUAUCCUUAAGAAUAAGUUGUCGGACCAGGUGGAAUGGCUUCCAGAUUCUAUAGGGAAGCUAUCAAGUUUGAUUACUUUGGAUUUGUCUGAGAAUCGAAUUACUGUCCUGCCUACCACUAUAGGGGGGCUUUCGUCAUUGCAAAAGCUAGAUUUGCAUUCGAACAAAAUCGUUGAACUACCUGAUUCCAUUGGAGAUCUGCUUAACUUGGUCUAUCUCGAUCUUAGUGCAAAUAACUUGAAGUUGUUGCCCACGAGUUUUGCGAGGUUAGUUCACCUUCAAGAACUUGAUCUGAGCUCCAACAUGCUAUCAGUACUUCCUGAGACAGUUGGCUCCUUGGUAAGUCUAAAGAAAUUGAUUGUGGAAACUAAUGACCUUGAGGAACUUCCUCACACUAUUGGUCAAUGUACUUCGCUCAAGGAGCUUCGUGCAGACUAUAACCGGCUUAAAGCUCUUCCUGAAGCAGUGGGACGAAUUGAGUCUUUGGAGAUUCUGUCUGCAAGGUACAAUAACAUCAGGCAAUUGCCUACGACUAUGUCAUCCCUUACAAGUUUGAAAGAGCUGAAUGUUAGUUUCAAUGAAAUUGAAGCCGUCCCUGAGAGCUUGUGUUUUGCUACUACGCUGGUCAAGCUGAACAUUAGCAACAAUUUUGCAGACCUGCGGUCACUACCAAGGUCCAUUGGCAACCUUGAGUUGCUAGAAGAAUUGGACAUGAGUAACAACCAGAUUAGAAUUCUUCCAGACUCAUUUAGGAUGCUCUCGAGUUUGCGGGUCCUUAAAACCGAAGGAAAUCCUUUGGAAGUGCCGCCAGGAAACAUCGCUGAGAAGGGAGCACAGGUUUGUUUCCAUUUUACUAUGAUGGUGCUUUCUGAUUUUUUUAUCCUAGCUAUUCUUGUUGUUUUUAGAUGAUUUGAUUACUUAAUUAUGCUUUGUUGCUAUGUUCUGCAGGCUGUUGUUCAGUAUAUGGCUGAUCUGGUAGCCAAUAGGGAUGUGAAGGCGCAGCCGGUGAAGAAGAAGAAAUCCUGGGCUCAGAUAUGCUGCUUUUCAAGAUCCAAGAAACGUCAGCGCAAUGGUGGGGACUAUGUCAAUGCCUGAUGUGCUGCAGCUUGGAUACAAAUGUUUGAACACACUAUACACAUGGUAUGCUUUUUCUCCUUCUUACCAUGUUUGUUUUAGGUUUCUUAAUUAGAUUUCAACGUUCUUGGAACUGACCAAGCAGGAGAUGAUUCUUAGCUCGUGUGUAGGCACUGAUUACUGAUAUAUUUCUUUAAGUUAAUUAUUCUCCUCUGCUAUUCUUAUCUGUUCAUUUUCUCAGUUAAUAAAUUGAAAGGUUGCCCUAUACAUGCUGGUUUGUGUUAAUAAAUUGAAAUGGUGCACAGUACAUGCUGGUGUUUGCGUUAAUUACAAUAAUGAAAUGUAGGGUUCUAAAGGGUACGCCUCACAUGCUUUGUUAUCUGUUUUAGGAAAAUGAGCUGUGAUUGAGCUGGAAGAGUCAGUUGCCAUUUGGGUUGAAUUCAACCAUUUUUUGCCAGCAAAUCAAGCCAUUUUGUUGUUCCAGAUCUGGCACUAAUCUUGCCACGUGUUCCGUUCGUUCUUUUUUCUCAUUUUGCUUCAUUCCAUGUAAUUCUUUACUCCUCGGUGUUGUUAUUCAGCUGUAACUUUUAUUCUUUGAUAAUGUAAAAUGAGAUGUAAAAUUUUAUUACACGGAAAACCAGGUGGAAAUUUCUCGUGUUUGACUUCCCAAAAAAGUAAAUUAAUAUUGAGUUUACUGAGUUUAAUAAUUUCUGAUUUGAUGGAGUAUAUUUUUAUUUUUUGCCUCCUUUCUGGUAUUGGGAAGUCAGCCUAACAUAUUUCUAUUAUCCACUUGGGUUCUAGAACGAUACAUUUGUUUGGCAUCUCAUUAUUUUUGUAGAGGAAUGUUGCUAAGGUCAAAUGAGGGAUGCUUAGAAACAGAGUCUUGUUAAUAAAAUUUUAAGGGCGGCCAUGACAUUGUGUACCAAAUACAUUUGACCUGUUUGGCUAGAUUUCUAUACUAUAUCCAAAUGGAUUUAUGACCAUUCUCGUACAUGUAAAUUAAACUUAUAUACUCAUAUAAAUAUGCCGAAAUACCCAACUGCAGCAGCCAUUUCUUUACUGGUGCAUCAUUAUUCUCACUGAAUCAUCAUUACUAUAUUAUAUCAUUAUUUCUCGAGACAAAUGCCCUAUAAAAAGGUAGUUGACCUUACUUUUAUUAAGCGGAAAAGACUCUUUAUUUGAAUCAAAUUAUGUGAGUACGUUACGCUACAAGACGCCGGUAACUUUUAUGAUCAAAUUCAAAUGAUAAUGGGUGAAAUUCCCAUUAUUUUAAUUCUUAGGUUAGGGAGAUGGCAUAAUUGUUGGUCAUAGUCCUCAGGAUCAAAUAGGUCUACUUCUGUUAAAGCUGGAAAUAGAUGUGACAAUGAUGGGUGACUAGUUUGUUAUGUAAAUAUCAUAAUAUUGGUAGUAAUCAUUUAAAGUAGUCCAAUAAUUACUAUUACAUGGUAAUAUUUCCCAGAUUAGUAGGUCCGUGAGAGUGAGCAAACCAUAUGGACCACCUUGUCCAUCUAAAAGAUGAGUGAUGCGCCUCUUCCAAGUAUGUGCUUUGAGUUUGCUUUAUUCUGUCAACUGGCUGUCUUUGCUUCUGCAAUUUUUUGUCAAUAAUUAACUGCAUAUCAAUAAGUCGAUUAUUGAUUUAUCACUGAUCGUGCACCAGUUGAAAAUUUGGCCGCAGCUCAGACGUGUACAGAUAAUCUAAUUACUCAUUGAAAACAUAAUUGUGGAACAUUGAACGUAACGCUAUGCAAGCGAUUCUGCAAAUAAUUAAAUAAGAUUAGAAUGUCCCUACUAAUUGCAUAUUGCUUAAAUUAGUUAAAAAAAGAAACUAAGUUGUAAAGUUAUUUAGGGAAAUAAAAAUUUGACUUUUUAUUGAGGCAUUUCAAUUAAAUGAAAAAUAUAAAAGUUUCACCACCUUUUUAUUUUAAAGAAUGGGCAACCUUCUUACAAAAAGGACAAUUUAAAAAGGAAUGGGCCAGCUGUUUGGGUAUUUGAACUGCUGGCUCGUUUUGGGCCACUUUGGCCAUUGGCCAGCCCUUGACUUAAAAAAGAAUGGGUCAGUUAUGUUAUUAACUAAAACAAAUGGAUCAACUGCUGGAUUUUAUUGGUGUUGGGCUGCUAGAGUUUAUUUAGCGUGAAAAAUAAUUUCUUGAACCAAAACCUAAAACCCGUACUGCUAAAAAUCCAAAAUCUUAUCUUUCUAAACUUAAACAUUUGUUUUUACUAGACAAAUUAAGACAAAAAAAAGAAUACUUUUUUAGUUUACCAUAUAAAUAUUCAGAAAACACAUGUAAAAACUUAAUUUGAUAACUUGCUAUCCAACAGGAAUUCCUUAAAAUAUAUAUAGAAGAGCAUUCUUUCUAAACACGUUUAAUUUUACUACCAAAUUCACUUUAACAUGAAUAUAACUCAACAAUGAUACAUAACUUUUCAAGUUAAAACAUGUUUUUAAAUUUUUUUUAAAAGAUAUUAAAACUGCGAAGGAACUUCUAGACAUCCAUUCUUAUAUUUGAACUAAAGAACGAAUUAAUAAACCAAAAAAAUGCGUUAUUUACUUAAACACUUUAACAUGUAUUGGUACUUAUUUGCACAAACGCUACCAGCACAAAUGAAAAUGUAGGGGAACAAAGUUCAUGUCAAACAUAAAGAAAAAGUCACUAAAAGAAAACUAGAGCAAACUAGGAAAAAUUCAUAAUUACAAAAAAAGAAACUUGGACCAAAGAAUUUCAACACAACUGCUCUUAAGCUUAAAAUCUACUAUACACACAUCUUCGAUUUAAAAACUCAACAUUUAUCUAAGCAUCGACUAUCAGAGGAUUUCAAACGUGGAUUACAUUUACUUGCUCCUGAACUAAAUUAUGCCAUAAAUCUGUUACUAUACUUUCAAUCGUGCACAAACUUUUAUGUUUAGGAGAGCUACAGCUUAAAAGAGAAACAAAGCAAUUAAGAACAAAAUUAUAGAGUUGGAAAAGAUCAAACUAUAGAGCUGAAGCUUUAUUCAUCCAUUUAUGAGCAAAAGAUUAAACUCAAAUGUAAAGAAGAUAGUUACAACACAUACAACGUCACCAUAACUUUAUGCAAUUAAGAACUAAACUAUAGAGCUGGAAAAAUACCUAUUUUGCAAAAAUAGAAGAAAAAAAUAGCAGAGAAGGGAACCAACAAGCCAAACUCCAGCCAAAUGAAAUAGCAACAGCAGCACGACCAGCAACAAAAUCAACGCCAAAAGUGAACUCAGUUAAUCUAGAGAAUCAGCCAUGUGUUUUAGACUAAAAACAAACAACGGAAACCAAGACUCUUAAAGUUUUUCUUGCCUAAAACCUAUUGUAAGUGCUGGAAAACUUAGUAAAAUGCUCUCUGAUUCCCCCCCCUCCCCCCCGUUUGUGUGUAAAUAUGUUCAGCCUUUUUAUAAGAGAAGAGGCAAUGCAUUCAUGACUAAAAAUCUGUUCAUACAAUAUAUUUCUCACCAAAAAUUUGCUCUUACUAUUCAAAGGACAGACUUUUGGUUAAAAAAUCUACCUAAAGAUAAUCUCUUUACCAACUGUGAAUAGUAUUAGGAGCUGUAUACUCCCAACAACCUUUAAACGGUAAAAAGCAGCAAAACAAGUACCCCACUCUCAUGAUCAAACAUAUCUACUCUUCAACUUUUUAAUAAUCAAUACCAGACCUAGUUUGUAUCAAACCAAAACUAAAGCCAAGAAACUAUAAGCAAGACACAUGUUAACAGAGAAAACAACUUGGUGAAAAAGUUUGACUAUGUGAAUACGCCUUCCACAAGCAAAGGAGGAUGAACUACAUGUCCAACAUGUUUGAUCAGCUGGAAGAUGCCAAAGGAUGGGUAGAACUUUUUGAAAAACUGAAAACUAGGUAGAAAACAAACCUAAUUCGGCCACUAACAAAACUUACACUACUACAAUAACUACAAUAAAGUAGUAGGCAACAGAAAUCAGAAACCUAAGGAAAGGAUUAAGGUUCUAGUUAGAGUCCAAAAUCUUUGAAACUUCAGCUAAUUAGCACAACGAAUUAAACGUGAAAUAACAGAAACUGCAAUUGAAGCUAAAAUUUUCAAACUUGAAUCUACAACUAACUUCAAACACCAUUAGAAGAACUUAUGAGAUAGGAAUCCGAACAACAAAAUAAUUUGAGAUCAACGAGUGAUGACUAAUCAUUACUGCCUUUAAACUAACUAACGACUUACUAAAGAUAAAUAAAACACAUGAUCAAACAAAGAAGAAAAACCAAAAAUUUUAGACCUAAGCAAACUAUAAUGAAACAGAAAGUAAAAGAAAAAGAAAGGAGACACAAGGGAUUAGGGUGUACCAGAAAAUUGAGUGGUGCGGUAGUGGUGGUGAUUCGAGUAGUGGUGGGAUGCCAACUUGACAACAAUGUAAAGUUCGAGCGUGAUUUCCUAAUUGGUGAAUUGUGACUGUGAAUUUUAGUAUGCCAGAGGUCAUUCACGAUAUCAACAAUGAGAAACUUGUGCUUCAACUCACGAGAUAGGUCGAGGCAGAGGUGUUGUGGUAAUUUUAGGUGGGUCGUGGCAGUGGAGUAGUGGUCGCCAGAAUCCGGCCAGACUUCUGUCGGAGUUUUUGGGUGAAACCAACAUAGGAUGAUAGAUCAUGUGGAGCUCUACGUGCAUGUGUAAGUAUUUUAUAAAGGAGAGGCCGAAAACUCGACGAAUUUACAAAAUAAAUUGGACUAAGGUUUCAGAUUUUCGUUUAUUCAUGGAUUUUGGGAGGGAUUCAAGGGAUUUGGUUCGUGGAUUAACGAAGAUAAAGAGGAUAGGAAGAGAUUGGCAUUGGUUGGAGGGUGUUUGGAGCACCACUGGCGGUGACGCUCCACGGUGGCGGUAGAGGAGGGCAAUGACGGCUUGAGAAAAAAGAGGGGUCUCUAGGGUUUGGUUUCUUAGAGAACAGGCAAAAAACAGAUUUUAAAAGGAUUUUAUACCUCAAAGGGGAACAAAGGAGGGCCAUU